Long non-coding RNA from Sardina pilchardus (European sardine), 382 nucleotides. RefSeq lists it as uncharacterized. The record is from RefSeq and is a predicted model, not a curated record. NCBI's taxonomy places the organism in Eukaryota, Metazoa, Chordata, Actinopteri, Clupeiformes, Clupeidae. The transcript is spliced from 3 exons.
UUAAUCAGGAUUUCUGGAGCAAGGAAGCUGAAAGAAACAUUCCAUGACAAAUUGAUUGAUUGGUGCCAGGGACAGGGGUGGCAAUUGCCUCUCAAGGCAGACACCACGUUUGAGAAAAAAGGCCCAGAAGAGAUGUACAAUCAGAAAGUACAGUAAAGUGAAUGUUACUUGAUGGGUUCUUCUUUAGGAUUGCAUACAGAACCACAUAGCACACAAUAGCCACAAGCCUAAUGCAAUGUUUUUGUUUUCUGUAAUUAUUCUUUUUCUAAUAAUACAUACUGUACGUACACAUACAUUCUGUACAUACACUAUAUUGCCAAAAGUAUUUGGUCACCUGCCUUGACCCCCAUAUGAACUUCAGUCACAUCCUAUUCUUAAUUCA